RNAcentral lists this long non-coding RNA (519 nucleotides) under Musa acuminata (dwarf banana). Its description in RNAcentral is "long non-coding RNA (MACU_LNC000337)". The record is from RNAcentral. Lineage: Eukaryota; Viridiplantae; Streptophyta; Magnoliopsida; Zingiberales; Musaceae.
GCAGAGGAGUGCAGUGCAGUAUUGUUGUAGUAUGAGGUCGAUCAGACGAACGUAACCAUGCAUUCUCACUCACUCAUCAGCUACCUGCAGCAUGAGAGGGAGGUCGAGGGGGUUCAGUCCCGGGCAGGGCUUGGGCAGGAGCGCGUCGUCAGGGAUCAUGAGCGGGAGGUCGAGGUACUUCACGUCCUCCAAGCUGCAAUCCGCCUUGGCCUCGACGAACCAAGCGCCCUCGCCAGUGCAAGCGACACGAACCUCGCCGCCGCCCUCGGGAUCGUCCACGAACCGCCCCGCGAAGGGGUAGUACUUCACCAGCGCCUUCGACAGUGCUUCCCUGAUGACCCUGGCCGGCUCCCGGCCGUGCCUGAACACGUGUAGCGACCGCACCAUAUGCCUGAGGCCGGGCACCCGGUCGAUGGCGGAGAGGCCGAGCGAGCCCGUCGGCGUGACCCCGCAUGGAGUGACCAAAGACCGGCUUGUUCUGGACACAGCAAAGCUCAUAGCUGCAGCUGUGGAGGACAG